UAUUACACCGUGCGCCUGGGAAAAAAACAACAGGUGCACCGAGGGGCGGCAGCGCAUCAGAUUGUCCGUAUCAGUUCGGCGGAGGGGCUUACGCGUAUGCGGUCGCCACUUCAAGCUAGAAGACUACGAACGCGAUUCCGUGAUUGUGCGGCGAUGUGAAGAGGCAUCCCUUCAAAUUUGAUGCACUGCGGUCUUUGUUCCUUCCUGUUGAAAAGGCAACCACAUACAAAAAAAAAACUGCACAAGGCAGCCACGAGUACAGUGGUAACUCGGAAGACAAUGGGAUGCUGACGCAAGCUGCCUUCACCACAGAAUCCGCUAAGCAGACACCGAUGUUUCUUCAGUGCCACAGCUCCCAGAGGUUUCAGGCCUCUCGGUGGCUCAACACCUGUUCGAAUGGAUGAAUCUUCCCCCGCUAAAAAAGCUCGCUGCUGAAACAUCUGUCCAAAUGAACGGACCUUUCCCUGCUGAGGAAGAAAAGCCAGCUGCUCAAGUUGACUUCACAUACUUGCCUUUAUUCAGCGAGAGUUUCUGCAGGUAUUACAAGCAUUCAGUGAUCUUUAACAUGUGAUGGGCAUGUAGUCACAAACUAGUUCGCAUACUGAAACGACAACGUGAUACAAGUAUUCUCUGGGGUUGUGUGUGCCCUUUCAUGUUUGCAACAAAGUAAGCCCCUUAGUCCCUGAAACAUUUCACGUCAGCGUAGUUGUGAGAAUUUAUUAGGAGGCAGAGAGGUCAGCCUGAGCUAGUUCGCUGUAGAGCAGUUCAUGACAGUUCACGUAUCUUUGCCAGAACACAAAUGGUCCAUUCUGCAGUGCAUGCUCAUUUUCCCCACCUCUGCGUUUUAAAACUAUACGAACAAAACGAGGCAGUUACAUUCCUGUGAAAAGCCUGCCGAGACACUUUCAGCCUGUCGUAGUUGCAUUUCAUGCAAUACGGGGCAACCUGAAGAUUUUCUAAUGAUGCACAUAAGAGCUUGUACAAUUAAAUGCAGGCCCAUUGCCAGAAAAAAUUCAGGAGUGCCCCACCUGCUGAGGUCCUUUAAAAACCUGUAUUUUCAUUAUUCAUGUUGGGUAGAACACACCCCUCCAUUCAAAUUUCAAAAAGGGUAGGGCAGGCCCCUAGGGCACUUUUAGUUUUGGCCAUGGGCCUCGUUGAGCACCUGUAUAAGAGACAUGCAAGACAUGCACUUGGGAGCAAUUAAAGAAUCAUGCGAAUUUUCUUAUCAACCUUAUUUAAAAGUAGGCACACUGGUUUCUCUUAUGCCACUUUGUCUCUUAUAUGAGUGUAUCUUAUAUAGAAGUUAGACUAUAUAAGCAGCAUUUAUAAAGAUUCUUUAUUGACAUUAGCUAGAAAAGAGGAUUUCUAUGACAACAGCAACGAUGAAUGUUGGUACUCAUUUGCAAUUCGUGAUGCUCUAUAACACAACAGUGUUUUUAGAUGUUGCUACAACCUCUAACGAAAUAACGAAGAGCAUAGGAGACCACGUUCCCCUGCAGUGAGUACGCUUAGGCCCAGCGGUAAGAUUAGUACAGUACUUAUGCUAUUAAGUACUUAUGCUAUUAGUACUUAUGCUGAAACCGAUGCCUGACUAGAGCACAGGCCGGCCGAAAGCAUAAGACUUAUUUCACAUGAAAGCACACUGUGGUUCAUGAACACUUUAUUUUAUUACAAGUAUGUCUUUUCCGAUGUUCACCAAAUAAGAAGGGGCACACUGACACAUGUGUACAACGACAUUUUUCGCAGCAUCUACAACGGGCUGCUACCUACCAAAGCAGUUUCACAGUGGACACAACGAAACAGUAAAAUGAUUUCUUGUGACACUAUUUACACUAUAUUUAUGUGCUAAUACACCAACUUCUUUUGUAUAGUACAUCGCCAGUUACUUUAUAUAAGACUUCCAAACAAUGCUACACUUAGCUCAUGGAGUGACUGUUUUGUGAUAGUAUACUUGUUGCGCGUUUCUGGCUAAUAAUAAAAUGGAGUGCACCAAUUA
Molecule: long non-coding RNA, 1996 nt
Organism: Rhipicephalus microplus (southern cattle tick)
Lineage: Eukaryota; Metazoa; Arthropoda; Arachnida; Ixodida; Ixodidae
Source: RefSeq, a predicted model, not a curated record